RNAcentral lists this ribosomal RNA (830 nucleotides) under Salmonella enterica subsp. enterica. RNAcentral's name for it is "partial 23S ribosomal RNA". It matches the Rfam family "Bacterial large subunit ribosomal RNA", at positions 1 to 848 of the family's 2925-position model. The record is from RNAcentral. Lineage: Bacteria; Pseudomonadati; Pseudomonadota; Gammaproteobacteria; Enterobacterales; Enterobacteriaceae.
AAAGGUAAGCUACUAAGAGCGAAUGGUGGAUGCCUUGACUGGUAAAGGCGAUGAAGGACGUACUAGACUGCGAUAAGCUACGGGGAGCUGUCAAGAAGCUUUGAUCCGUAGAUUUCCGAAUGGGGCAACCCAAUGUAUAGAGAUAUACAUUACCUAUAUAGGAGCGAACGAGGGGAAUUGAAACAUCUUAGUACCCUCAGGAAAAGAAAUCAAUAGAGAUUGCGUCAGUAGCGGCGAGCGAAAGCGCAAGAGGGCAAACCCAGUGCUUGCACUGGGGGUUGUAGGACUGCAAUGUGCAAGAGGUAAGUUUAGCAGAACAUUCUGGAAAGUAUAACCAUAGAGGGUGAUAGUCCCGUAUGCGAAAAACAAACCUUAGCUAGCAGUAUCCUGAGUAGGGCGGGACACGAGGAAUCCUGUCUGAAUCCGGGUCGACCACGAUCCAACCCUAAAUACUAAUACCAGAUCGAUAGUGCACAAGUACCGUGAGGGAAAGGUGAAAAGAACUGAGGUGAUCAGAGUGAAAUAGAACCUGAAACCAUUUGCUUACAAUCAUUCAGAGCCCUAUGUAGCAAUACAGGGUGAUGGACUGCCUUUUGCAUAAUGAGCCUGCGAGUUGUGGUGUCUGGCAAGGUUAAGCAAACGCGAAGCCGUAGCGAAAGCGAGUCUGAAUAGGGCGCUUAGUCAGAUGCUGCAGACCCGAAACGAAGUGAUCUAUCCAUGAGCAAGUUGAAGCUAGUGUAAGAACUAGUGGAGGACUGAACCCAUAGGCGUUGAAAAGCCCCGGGAUGACUUGUGGAUAGGGGUGAAAGGCCAAUCAAACUUCGUGAUAG